This 253-nucleotide ribosomal RNA is filed under the name uncultured bacterium. RNAcentral describes it as "partial 16S ribosomal RNA". It matches the Rfam family "Bacterial small subunit ribosomal RNA", at positions 524 to 776 of the family's 1533-position model. The record is from RNAcentral.
UACGUAGGCAGCAAGCGUUGUUCGGAAUUACUGGGCGUAAAGAGUGUGUAGGCGGCUUCGCAAGUUUGGUGUGAAAUCUCCCGGCUUAACUGGGAGGGUGCGCCGAAAACUGCGAGGCUUGAGUGUCGGAGAGGAAAGCGGAAUUCCUGGUGUAGCGGUGAAAUGCGUAGAUAUCAGGAGGAACACCUGUGGUGUAGACGGCUUUCUGGACGACUACUGACGCUGAGACACGAAAGCGUGGGGAGCAAACAGG